UUCCGGUUGAUCCUGCCGGACCCGACUGCUAUCAGAGUGGGACUAAGCCAUGCGAGUCAACAUAGCAAUAUGUGGCAUACGGCUCAGUAACACGUAGUCAACAUGCCCAGGGGACGUGGAUAACCUCGGGAAACUGAGGAUAAACCGCGAUAAGUCACUACUUCUGGAAUGGGUAAUGACUCAAAUCUAUAUGGCCCCUGGAUUGGACUGCGGCCGAUCAGGCUGUUGGUGAGGUAAUGGCCCACCAAACCUGUAACCGGUACGGGCUCUGAGAGGAGGAGCCCGGAGAUGGGCACUGAGACAAGGGCCCAGGCCCUAUGGGGCGCAGCAGGCGCGAAACCUCUGCAAUAGGCGAAAGCCUGACAGGGUUACUCUGAGUGAUUUCCGUUAAGGAGAUCUUUUGGCACCUCUAAAAAUGGUGCAGAAUAAGGGGUGGGCAAGUCUGGUGUCAGCCGCCGCGGUAAUACCAGCACCCCGAGUGGUCGGGACGUUUAUUGGGCCUAAAGCAUCCGUAGCCGGUUCUACAAGUCUUCCGUUAAAUCCACCUGCUUAACAGAUGGGCUGCGGAAGAUACUAUAGAGCUAGGAGGCGGGAGAGGCAAGCGGUACUCGAUGGGUAGGGGUAAAAUCCGUUGAUCCAUUGAAGACCACCAGUGGCGAAGGCGGCUUGCCAGAACGCGCUCGACGGUGAGGGAUGGAAGCUGGGGGAGCAAACCGGAUUAGAUACCCGGGUAGUCCCAG
Molecule: ribosomal RNA, 740 nt
Filed under: uncultured archaeon
Lineage: Archaea
Description: bacterial SSU rRNA
Rfam family: Archaeal small subunit ribosomal RNA
Source: RNAcentral